AUAUAGUUUGCAGUGAACUACUGGCAAAUCAAGUGACUGAUAAUUUUUGUACCAAUAAUAGCAAAUUUACAUGCAAAAACUGACUAAAUUAACUUACAAAGAGAUGAUCAAUGAUGCAUGGCCUGUUCCAAGAACUAAUUCACUCAUAAUAUAAUUCAGACAUCUAUCAUAUAUAACAUCCAUUUACUUUUUAUAUGAAAACACCCAACAUUAAAACUUCCCUCCUAUUAUCAAAGAAACAGGAAGUCUGAUUUUAGUACAGGGAGCAUGCUCAGUAUGCUAUAAAGUUUGUGUAGAAGUUCCAGCAAACUUUAGGACUGCUUUAAAGUUUGUUUACAAAGUUCCUUUAAAUUUAAGAACGUUAAGAGUUUGUGACAACCUUGCGGCAACUUUGAACAUAUGUUUGCGGACAGUUUGCUGCUAGCGGCAAACACUGGUGAACAACUUUCAGGUCUUCUGGCGAACUAAAAAGAUUGCUGCAACCUUACUGCAUGUUUGCAGCAAUGUUUCUCUUUUCAUAAGGGAUGUAGAGGUUUUGAGUUUCUCUCUAAAUUUGAGUUAAAAGAAAUUGAUUUGUUAUACAAGACAUUUAUUUUUUAAAGUGUUUUAUAAGGUUGAAGAUCCAUUUCCUUAAUUAGCUCACCUGGCCGAAAGGCCAAGUGAGCUUUUCUCAUCACUUGGCGUCCGGCGUCGUCGUCCUGCGUUAACUUUUACAAAAAUCUUCUCCUCUGAAACUACUGGGCCAAAUUUAACCAAACUUAGCCAUAAUCAUCAUUGGGUAUCUAGUUAAAAAAAUGUGUCCGGUAACACGGCCA
This 815-nucleotide long non-coding RNA is filed under the name Mytilus galloprovincialis (Mediterranean mussel). The record is from RNAcentral. Lineage: Eukaryota; Metazoa; Mollusca; Bivalvia; Mytilida; Mytilidae.